CGGGGUGCACCAGGCGCGAAAACUUUACAAUGCGGGAAACCGUGAUAGGGGAACUCUGAGUGCCCGUAAAAUCGGGCUGUCCAUCAGUUUAAAUAACUGGUGAAGAAAGGGCCGGGCAAGACCGGUGCCAGCCGCCGCGGUAAUACCGGCGGCUCGAGUGGUGGCCACUAUUACUGGGCUUAAAGCGUUCGUAGCUGGCUUGUUAAGUCUCUGGGGAAAUCUUCCGGCUCAACCGGAAGGCGUCUCAGGGAUACUGGUAGGCUAGGGACCGGGAGAGGUGAGAGGUACUUCAGGGGUAGGAGUGAAAUCCUGUAAUCCUUGGGGGACCACCUGUGGCGAAGGCGUCUCACCAGAACGGCUCCGACAGUGAGGGACGAAAGCUGGGGGAGCAAACCGGAUUAGAUACCCGGGUAGUCCCAGCUGUAAACGAUGCACGUUAGGUGUAUCGGUGACCACGAGUCACCGAGGUGCCGAAGAGAAAUCGUGAAACGUGCCGCCUGGGAAGUACGGUCGCAAGGCUGAAACUUAAAGGAAUUGGCGGGGGAGCACAAGGGCGAUUCGCG
This 563-nucleotide ribosomal RNA is filed under the name uncultured archaeon. RNAcentral's name for it is "bacterial SSU rRNA". It matches the Rfam family "Archaeal small subunit ribosomal RNA", at positions 326 to 897 of the family's 1478-position model. The record is from RNAcentral.